CCUGCCCAAGAGAUCGGGAUAACACCUGGAAACAGAUGCUAAUACCGGAUAACAACAGAUGAUGCCUAUCAACUGUUUAAAAGAUGGUUCUGCUAUCACUCUUGGAUGGACCUGCGGUGCAUUAGCUAGUUGGUAGGGUAACGGCCUACCAAGGCGAUGAUGCAUAGCCGAGUUGAGAGACUGAUCGGCCACAUUGGGACUGAGACACGGCCCAAACUCCUACGGGAGCAGCAGCU
RNAcentral lists this ribosomal RNA (236 nucleotides) under uncultured Lactobacillus sp. Its description in RNAcentral is "partial 16S ribosomal RNA". It matches the Rfam family "Bacterial small subunit ribosomal RNA", at positions 125 to 355 of the family's 1533-position model. Lineage: Bacteria; Bacillati; Bacillota; Bacilli; Lactobacillales; Lactobacillaceae. The record is from RNAcentral.